RNAcentral lists this ribosomal RNA (511 nucleotides) under Calligrapha ancoralis. RNAcentral describes it as "partial 16S ribosomal RNA". The stretch from base 384 to 511 matches the Rfam family "Archaeal large subunit ribosomal RNA", at positions 2544 to 2671 of the family's 2987-position model. Lineage: Eukaryota; Metazoa; Arthropoda; Insecta; Coleoptera; Chrysomelidae. The record is from RNAcentral.
GUYUUUUUGAUUAAAAUUUAAAGUCGGGCCUGCCCACUGAAAAUUUUAAAUGGCCGUGGUAUUUUGACCGUGCUAAGGUAGCAUAAUCAUUAGUUUUUUAAUUGAAAGCUGGAAUGAAAGGUUUGAUAAGAAAAUAACUGUCUCUAUUUAAUUUUAUUAAAAAUUUAUUUUUAAGUUCAAAAGCUUAAAUUUGAUUAAAAGACGAGAAGACCCUAUAGAGUUUAAUAAUUUAAAAUAAUUUUUAUUUUAGAAUUAAUUUAUUUAUUUUUAAGAAUUAUUUGAUUGGGGUGAUUGAAAAAUUUAAUUAACUUUUUUUAUAUUUAACCAUUAAUUUAUGAUAAUUUGAUCCAGUUUUUUUGAUUAUAAGAUAAAAUUACCUUAGGGAUAACAGCGUAAUUUUUUUAGAAAGUUCAAAUUAAAAGAAAAGAUUGCGACCUCGAUGUUGGAUUAAAAUUAAAUUUUGGUGUAGAAGCUAAAAAUUUUAAGUCUGUUCGACUUUUAAAAUUUUACA